Oryza glumipatula is the source of this 205-nucleotide non-coding RNA. NCBI's taxonomy places the organism in Eukaryota, Viridiplantae, Streptophyta, Magnoliopsida, Poales, Poaceae. The record is from Rfam.
AAAAAGACAAAUCUUGGGUUUUCGUGUCCAACGUUUAACGUCCGUCUUAUAUAAAUUUUUAUUAUAAUUAAUAUUUUUAUUAUUGUUAGAUGAUAAAACAUGAUUAAUACUUUAUGCGUGACUUAUCUUUUUAUUUUUUUCAUAAUUUUUUUAAAUAAGACGGACGGUUAAACGUUGGACACGAAAACCCAACGUUUGUCUUUUU